This 254-nucleotide ribosomal RNA is filed under the name uncultured bacterium. RNAcentral's name for it is "partial 16S ribosomal RNA". It matches the Rfam family "Bacterial small subunit ribosomal RNA", at positions 524 to 776 of the family's 1533-position model. The record is from RNAcentral.
UACAGAGGGGGCAAGCGUUGUUCGGAAUUACUGGGCGUAAAGGGCGCGUAGGCGGCCUCUGCAAGUCGACUGUGAAAUCUCCGGGCUUAACCCGGAACGGUCAGCCGAUACUGCAGGGCUAGAGUGCAGAAGGGGCAACUGGAAUUCUCGGUGUAGCGGUGAAAUGCGUAGAUAUCGAGAGGAACACCUGCGGCGAAGGCGGGUUGCUGGGCUGACACUGACGCUGAGGCGCGAAAGCUAGGGGAGCGAACGGG